CACGUAGGGGGCAAGCGUUGUCCGGAAUCAUUGGGCGUAAAGAGCUCGUAGGCGGCUCAGUAAGUCGGGUGUGAAACCUCCAGGCUCAACCUGGAGACGCCACCCGAUACUGCUGUGGCUAGAGUCCAGUAGGGGAGUGUGGAAUUCCCGGUGUAGCGGUGAAAUGCGCAGAUAUCGGGAGGAACACCAGCGGCGAAGGCGACUUCUUGGCCUGUUCUUGACGCUGAGGCGCGAAAGCUGGGGGAGCAAACGGG
RNAcentral lists this ribosomal RNA (254 nucleotides) under uncultured bacterium. Its description in RNAcentral is "partial 16S ribosomal RNA". It matches the Rfam family "Bacterial small subunit ribosomal RNA", at positions 524 to 776 of the family's 1533-position model. The record is from RNAcentral.